GGCUCAGUUGGUAGAGCAUGGUGUGUGCAACGCCAGGGUUGUGGGUUCGAUUCCCAC
This is a non-coding RNA of Salmo salar (Atlantic salmon), 57 nucleotides long. Lineage: Eukaryota; Metazoa; Chordata; Actinopteri; Salmoniformes; Salmonidae. The record is from Rfam.